RNAcentral lists this long non-coding RNA (1103 nucleotides) under Olea europaea subsp. europaea. Lineage: Eukaryota; Viridiplantae; Streptophyta; Magnoliopsida; Lamiales; Oleaceae. The record is from RNAcentral.
UUGCUUUAUAUUAAAGUGACAUUAUAUCACUUUAUUUGUAUUUUUUGUAUACGAGUUAAUUUGCUGGAGAUUAAAAGUGAUACAUUUUGUCACCAUUUUUUUUUUUUAAUCUCACAGUAUUUCAUUUGUAUUCUUUUUGCAAGUAUGAAUAAAAUUAAUGUUUUGGGGGCAAAUGAAAACUAGAUAACGAAUAUAAAAAAUAUAAAAUGACUAAAAUUAUUGUUCCUAUAGAAUGCACAUAAAACCACCUUUGUUAAAACGUAAAUUUUACUUUUUGUUAAAAAUGACGUAUCAUGUCACUUUUUAAGAAUCUAAGUUUUGAUUCUGUUAAAAAGAGGCUAAAUUGUCCUUAUUAUAAUUGAUUUGCAUUUCUAUCAAAAAAAUAAUUGGCAUAUCUACAAUUUUAUUUAAGUUCGAAGAAUAAAAAAGUGACAUAGUCAGGGUUAAGGAUGAAUAUUAAUAAGUCUAACUUGUACAUGGCGGGGGUUCAUGGGCAAGUGAAGGAGGAAAUUCAUGAGAUUGUGAACAUCUCUAAAGGUUCAUUACCUUUUCGAUACUUGGGCAUCCCUCUUGUGGUGAAGAAGUUUGAAAAUUAGCACCUAUGAUCUAUUUAUUAACAAAAUCACAGCUUAGAUUGGGGCUCGGUUGAGAGCAUCUUUAUCUUAUGCAGGAAGAAUGGAGCUUGUGAGAGCUGUGCUUCAAGGGGUUGAAUGUUUUUGGCUAUUCAUCUUUCCCAUUCCAACCACGGUUGCUUCUAGAGUCAUAUCUCUAUGCCAGAAUUUUCUUUGGAGUUACAACAAACCAUUGGUUGCUUGGAGUAAUUUAUGCCUUCCAAAGGAAGAAGGUGGACUUGGGCUUAGGGACAUCAAAACCUAGAACUCGGCUCUUCUUGCCAAAGCACUUCGAAUAUUCAUUGUAAGAAGGAUACUAUAUAUGGAUCAAAUGGGUUAAUCAAGUAUUCCUUUGGGAUAGUAACAUCUGGACAUAUUUGCCAAGGAAAGGGAACUCUCCUCUGUUAAAAAAACUGCGGGAUAUUAGGGAUUGCAUGUAGGGCAAAAUUCCACAGCCAACACGUGCAAAAUCGGGCUCAGUUUACCAAAAAC